GGUUUGGUCCUAGCCUUUCUAUUAGUUAUCUGUAAACUUACACAUGCAAGAAUCCUCACCCCAGUGAGAUGCCCUCUACACCAAACAAUGGUAAAAAGGAGCUGGUAUCAAGCACACUAUCAAGUAGCUUACGACACCUCGCUUAGCCACACCCCCACGGGAUACAGCAGUGAUAAAAAUUAAGCAAUAAAUGAAAGUCUGACUAAGUUAUACUAUUGAGGACUGGUAAAUUUCGUGCCAGCCACCGCGGUCAUACGAUUAGGCCAAACUAAUAGACACUCGGCGUAAAGCGUGUUCUAGAAACUAAAUAACAAAUAAAAUCAAACCUUAACUAAGCCGUAAAAAGCCUUAGAUAUUGUAAGAUACAUAACGAAAGUGAUUUUAAAAAAUCUGACUACACGAUAGCUAAGAUCCAAACUGAGAUUAGAUACCUCACUAUGCUUAGCCCUAAACAUAAAAAAUUAUAAACAAAACUAUUCGCCAGAGUACUACUAGCAACAGCUUAAAACUCAAAGGACUUGGCGGUGCCUUACAUCCUCCUAGAGGAGCCUGUUCUAUAAUCGAUAAACCCCGAUCUACCUCACCAAUCUUUGCUAAAUCAGCCUAUAUACCGCCAUCUUCAGCAAACCCUAAAAAGGAAAUAAAGUAAGCACAAAUACCAGCAUAAAAACGUUAGGUCAAGGUGUAGCCUAUAGAUUGGAAAGAAAUGGGCUACAUUCCUCGAAUCGAGGAAUUAACAUUCUGCACGAAACCUAUUGUGAAACCAAGAGUUAAAGGUGGAUUUAGCAGUAAACCAAGAGUAGAGUGCUUGGUUGAAUACGGCCAUAAGGCACGCACACACCGCCCGUCACCCUCCUCAAAUUGACAAAACUACAAACCAUAGAUAAUACAGAAACAUAAACUCAUGAGAGGAGACAAGUCGUAACAAGGUAAGUGUACUGGAAAGUGCACUUGGACAAC
Molecule: non-coding RNA, 960 nt
Filed under: Myotis vivesi (fish-eating bat)
Lineage: Eukaryota; Metazoa; Chordata; Mammalia; Chiroptera; Vespertilionidae
Description: partial 12S ribosomal RNA
Rfam family: Bacterial small subunit ribosomal RNA
Source: RNAcentral